UACGAAGGGUGCAAGCGUUACUCGGAAUUACUGGGCGUAAAGCGUGCGUAGGUGGUUCGUUAAGUCUGAUGUGAAAGCCCUGGGCUCAACCUGGGAAUGGCAUUGGAAACUGGCGACCUAGAGUGCGGUAGAGGGUAGUGGAAUUCCCGGUGUAGCAGUGAAAUGCGUAGAGAUCGGGAGGAACAGCUGUGGCGAAGGCGACUGCCUGGACCAGCACUGACACUGAGGCACGAAAGCGUGGGGAGCAAACAGG
This 253-nucleotide ribosomal RNA is filed under the name uncultured bacterium. RNAcentral's name for it is "partial 16S ribosomal RNA". It matches the Rfam family "Bacterial small subunit ribosomal RNA", at positions 524 to 776 of the family's 1533-position model. The record is from RNAcentral.